Molecule: long non-coding RNA, 334 nt
Filed under: Equus caballus (horse)
Lineage: Eukaryota; Metazoa; Chordata; Mammalia; Perissodactyla; Equidae
Description: lncRNA (ENSECAG00000059529.1)
Source: RNAcentral
CAGGACAUCUGGUAUAACAACUGAAGAGAACCGAUUGCUGAAUUUUUAUCGUGAAUUCAAAUGAGUCCAUUAAAAUAAAAAUUACAUUUAAAAGAAAAAAGGAGAAACAGAAGAGACUUGGAUACUCCAGAAUGGAUGCUCAGGCCCUUGGACUAUGAAGCUGCUGGUGUAGAUUCACGGAAGGAGUCUCUCAGCUGGGCUGGGUUGGCGAUGCUGGCCCAGGGGGGUUUACAGACCUAAAUUUCAGUUGUGUUCUCUUGUACCUCUGAAUGACUUGGUGUCCCGUAGCUCAGGGAGCAUAUAUACAGAUUUAAGAUUCUGGACUGUUGUGGGG